RNAcentral lists this long non-coding RNA (2935 nucleotides) under Podarcis lilfordi (Lilford's wall lizard). The record is from RNAcentral. Lineage: Eukaryota; Metazoa; Chordata; Lepidosauria; Squamata; Lacertidae.
GUGUAACCGCAUUGGGAAUACUGUGUACAGUUCUGGUUGCCUCACCUGAGAAAGGCUAUAGUAGAGUUGGAAAAAGUUCAGAAAAGAGCAUCCAAGGAUCAAGGAAAUGGAGGAAUUCCUCUGUGAGGGAAGGUUGCCGCAUUUGAGACUUCAGUUUAGAGAAAAAGCAAGUAAGAAGUGACAUGAUGGAAAUUUAUGAAACGAUUCAUGGCAUAGAGAAAUGGAUAGAGAAAAGUUUCUUUCCCUUUCUCAUAACACUAUAACUUUUUUAAAUUAUUGGAAAGGGUUCAGUUAUAAAGAAAUAAGCUGAUGCAAAGAAAAAGAGAAGAAGAAAAGAAAAAGAAAAUGGCACAAAAAUGUGUAGGGGGAAAACCCAUAUAUGAAAAAUAACCUUACCCAUACAUUCUUUUAUAAAUUUGAUAUUAUUAUCCUAAUACAGAUGUAAAUAUUAAUAGUCUGCUACAUUUUCUAAAACUUAUUCCAAAUAUUGCCAUAUUUAUCCAAACAAAGACUAAGCAGUCCGUUCAUAAGUUGCAAGGGUUAUCAUAUUGUCUAUGCAUUUAGGAAAGGGGAUCAUAUCUUUAUUCUUCCACUUCAUCAAUAUCAGUCUCUUGGCUACCAUUGGAGCGCGUAUAAUUUAUUUUCAUCACACUAGAACUUAUGGGCAAACAAGGAAGCUGAACUUUGGAAGAUCUUUCACAGAUAAAAGGAAGUACUUUUUCAUGCAGCGCCUAGUUGCAUUUGCAGCCACAGGAGGCUGUGAUGGCCAACAACUUGGAUGACUUUAAAAGAGAAUUAGACAAAUUCGUGGAAGAGGAGGCUACAAGCCAUGUAUCUAGCUGCCAGUUGCUGCAAAUAUCAGGUGGGCAGAGUGCUUCUGUGCUCAUGUCCAGCUUGCAGGCUUCCCACAGGCACCUGGCUGGCCACUUGGAAGACUAGAUGGGCCACUGGCCUGAUCCCGCAAGCUCAAAUUAUGUUCUUUUAAAAAUUACAUACAUCAGACAAUCCAGCUACAAAAGGAUUCCUUGUUUACCCUAAUCAGCAGUCACAGGUUGUGUUUUAUGCUUGUAAUUCUGAAAUUGCUUGACAGAGACAAAAACGUUUUUAAUGUUUAGAAUUAGAUAUGCAAAUAUUUGAGCAAAUCUGAUGUGAACAGGUGUUUGUGAGAUGGAUGGAUGUCUCUUCAUGUGCAAAUAUUUACAGCUGUCCAACUUUGCAGCUGAGCAUUUAUACUGUGCUUCUAUUUUGGAAUGGGCCAGCCAAAAUGGGGCUUUCAAUUUGACGCUCUCUCUCUCUCUCUCUCUCUCUCUCUCUCUCUGUGUGUGUGUUUUUCCAAAGCAAACAAAGCCUGUUAACAUAUAUAUUUUUUUGGGAGGGGGGAAUCUAGGCAACCCCAGACAGAAGAUUAAAUUUGAAAUGGUCAUGCUCUGAAUUGUGCAGUCAGAACCACUGUUUAGAAUUGUUGUUUAAGCAGCAACAAUGUGGUAAAUUAGUCACCCGCCAUAGAAAUGCUAGAAAGAAUGUAAAAACAGAAUAACAAAAAACAUCAGUGGUCUAAGAAAGUAUUCCCCAAUCAGAUGGCCUCCAGGUCUUUUGGACCACAACUUCCAUCAUCCCUGACAAUUGGCCACAGUUUGGGGAAGCCUGGUCUAUGAAUAUGACAUAAGAGGAAACACUGAAGUAAAUGAUUGCUUCUUUCCAUCCUAUUACCUUCUUCAAAGAUGAACUGUUCCCUUCCAUCUUUCUUUUGAAAUGUGGCCAUCAGAACUGAAGAGUAUUCUAGUAAAGGACUCCCACCCAAGAGCUGCUGUCAGUCAGAUGGGACAAUAUUGGGCUCAUUUGACCUGGUAUAAGGUCGCUUCCUGUGUGCCUGUUCUGUGAACAUCACCAUACUCACUGCCAAGCCCAACAUUGAAUAGAGUAUGGUAAGUAUCUCAUUAUUCUUCCUUGUAAUUCCACUACAAAGACUCUCCUCCUGCAAAAGAGGGGAGUGGUUGUGGGCGGGAGCCGGUUUCCGCCUCAAGCAGGGGGCGUUAGCCCCCUGCCUCCCACUCACCUGGCUGGCGCCCAUGCCCACUGACAGGCACCCAACCAGGUGCCUUCGAGGGGGCGUGUACGGCAGCGUAAAUUGCUGCGGCGCCAGCCUCCUGGCCUCACUCUUCGUCGUCCCAUCGCGAGUCACCCACCCUCCACUCCCUUAGAGCUCAGGGUCUCAGUUUUCUUUUGGCCUUGCUAUGGACCUUAGGUUGGUCGCCCAGGUUGUCCAGGGGGCCUGGUAGGAAUUUUUCCAUUGGCAUUAGGCUUUUUGGUUUUUUCGCCUACCUCGUAGCAAUCGUCACAACUUUCGUGGUAUUGGUGGGUAGGUUAGGCAUUGGAAUAAUGUGUUGUGGUGUGUGGAAGGGCUAGGUGUGGUCAUCGCCUAUGCCUUCAAUUUUGGGUAUUCCGUUAAAGGAAUCCGGUGGUCGUGUAUUCUGUCCGAUGCCUGCGUGGCGGGAGGCCAUGGCACGACCCUCGGUGACAUCAGGGGAGAGCUUAUAGUUGGAUUAGCAUCAACAGGCUCCACCUACUGGUGAAUAAACCCCCCUGUUUUAGACUCACCCCUCUCCGAGUGGGUGGAGUCAGCUGACAUAAUCCAGUGCCUAAGCCAAUACCUUUUCACUUGCUGUAAUCAAUAAAGUCGUGGCCUUUUCUUGCCUUAUAUCAUGUGUCCUUGUGUUUUCAUUCCACUAUGCGGGGAUCGGGUCCUCGAACCACAACCCUUUGCUUUUGUUGCAAAGACACUAACUUCUCACCAUUAAUGAUGCCCUCAACCCCCAGACCUUCUCUGUUUUUCCUUGGUAAACAAACAUUCCCAAAGCUGUUAUUGUACCUUGGUUUGUCCUGAUGAAAUGCAGGGCCUUACACUUACCCUUAUUAAAUUUCAUCCCAUUUAUUU